RNAcentral lists this ribosomal RNA (179 nucleotides) under uncultured bacterium. RNAcentral describes it as "partial 16S ribosomal RNA". It matches the Rfam family "Bacterial small subunit ribosomal RNA", at positions 1322 to 1500 of the family's 1533-position model. The record is from RNAcentral.
GAAGUUGGAUUCGCUAGUAAUCGCGGAUCAGCAUGCCGCGGUGAAUACGUUCCCGGGCCUUGUACACACCGCCCGUCACACCAUGGGAGUCGGUAACACCCGAAGCCUGUAGUCUAACCGCAAGGGGGACGCAGUCGAAGGUGGGAUUGAUGACUGGGGUGAAGUCGUAACAAGGUAUC